RNAcentral lists this unclassified non-coding RNA (444 nucleotides) under Hevea brasiliensis (rubber tree). Lineage: Eukaryota; Viridiplantae; Streptophyta; Magnoliopsida; Malpighiales; Euphorbiaceae. The record is from RNAcentral.
AAAAAAAAAAAAAAACAAAGAAAGGAAUAAAGAAACAUAACCCCAUGUGGUUGACAGGUUGGGAUAUAAAUAUAAUGCAUUGGAGACUCAUGUAGAGGACAAAAAGAAGCCAAUUGUCCAUUUUAAUUUCCAACCAACCUGGAAACUAUUAUACUUGCAGACUGGCGUGUGCUUGUCAGGGUGUUGCCUUCCAAACCGGCUGCAGGGUGGGAUCUCUGCACUGCCGACAUUUCAUAUUUUAAAAGCUCAGUUAUGCAAGUAAUCAUUGGAAACUACAAUUUCUCGAUGAUUCAAUAUGAUAAUAAAUAUUUUAUUAAAUUUGUGGUAGUAAUAGAGCGAGAGAUGGGGUGACCGUGAUUGUUUUACUUGCUCACUCUCUCUCCUGUCUGUCUCCUUCCUUCCAUUCCAGAGGAGAGCAAUCUGCAUAUCAUUCGUCAAUUUAGG